AAUUUUGGACAAUGGGCGCAAGCCUGAUCCAGCCAUGCCGCGUGAGUGAAGAAGGCCUUCGGGUUGUAAAGCUCUUUCGGACGGGAAGAAAUCGCGCAGGCUAAUACCCUGCGCGGAUGACGGGACCGCCAUUAGCAGCACCGGCUACCUCAGUGCCAGCAGCCGCGGUAAUACGUAGGGAGCGAGGGGUAAGCGGAAUUACUGGGCGUAAAGCGUUCGUAGGCGGUUGAUUAAGACAGGCGUGAAAUCCCCGGGCUUAACCUGGGAACUGCGCUUGUGACCGGUCAGCUAGAGUUCGGCAGAGGGGGGUGGAAUUCCUGGUGUAGCAGUGAAAUGCGUAGAGAUGUGGAGGAACACCGAUGGCGAAGGCAGCCCCCUGGGCCGAUACUGACGCUCAUGCACGAAAGCGUGGGUAGCAAACAGG
Molecule: ribosomal RNA, 424 nt
Filed under: uncultured bacterium
Lineage: Bacteria
Description: partial 16S ribosomal RNA
Rfam family: Bacterial small subunit ribosomal RNA
Source: RNAcentral